AGCGGCGGAUGGGUGAGUAACACGUGGGGAACCUGCCCCUAAGUCUGGGAUACCAUUUGGAAACAGGUGCUAAUACCGGAUAAUAAAGCAGAUCGCAUGAUCAGCUUUUGAAAGGCGGCGUAAGCUGUCGCUAAGGGAUGGCCCCGCGGUGCAUUAGCUAGUUGGUAAGGUAACGGCUUACCAAGGCGACGAUGCAUAGCCGAGUUGAGAGACUGAUCGGCCACAUUGGGACUGAGACACGGCCCAAACUCCUACGGGAGGCAGCAGUAGGGAAUCUUCCACAAUGGACGCAAGUCUGAUGGAGCAACGCCGCGUGAGUGAAGAAGGUUUUCGGAUCGUAAAGCUCUGUUGUUGGUGAAGAAGGAUAGAGGUAGUAACUGGCCUUUAUUUGACGGUAAUCAACCAGAAAGUCACGGCUGACUACGUGCCAGCAGCCGCGGUAAUACGUAGGUGGCAAGCGUUGUCCGGAUUUAUUGGGCGUAAAGCGAGCGCAGGCGGAAAAAUAAGUCUAAUGUGAAAGCCCUCGGCUUAACCGAGGAACUGCAUCGGAAACUGUUUUUCUUGAGUGCAGAAGAGGAGAGUGGAACUCCAUGUGUAGCGGUGGAAUGCGUAGAUAUAUGGAAGAACACCAGUGGCGAAAGCGGCUCUCUGGUCUGCAACUGACGCUGAGGCUCGAAAGCAUGGGUAGCGAACAGGAUUAGAUACCCUGGUAGUCCAUGCCGUAAACGAUGAGUGCUAAGUGU
This 743-nucleotide ribosomal RNA is filed under the name uncultured bacterium. Its description in RNAcentral is "bacterial SSU rRNA". It matches the Rfam family "Bacterial small subunit ribosomal RNA", at positions 94 to 823 of the family's 1533-position model. The record is from RNAcentral.